AUGCUCGCACGAAGCCAUGUCAGUGGUCUUCGGCACCGAUCGGCCCGACAGAGUAGUGGAGACCCGACCACCACCAACGACCACCGCAUCCGCGAGGAAAGGGACCUCAAUGCCUGCAGACACCACCCGGACCAAGCCCACCAUCACCUACACGAAGCGGGAGCUCUGACCCGUGUCGAGCCUCAAGCCAAUCCGGUCGAGCACGAGCCCCAGGUCUCGGCCAUCUCCACCACGCAAGCACCUCGUGCCACCGGUCCAGACCUAGGAGAAGGGAUGAGCUACCAGCACCCACACCAACCGCCGUCGCCAAAGCCGCUGUGGCCACCUCGCCUACCACCGCAAGCACCCAGUGGUCCAACUAGAUCAUGGCAAGGUGCAGGGCCCCCCUGCCCUGAACUAGCUGCCAACCCACAACUCCACACUGGACGCGCACGCUGCCACCCACCACUAACUCCAGCGGCCACCAUCUCCCAUCGGAUUACAACCAUCGAGGCCCACACUACCCACAACCCACGCCACACAUAA
RNAcentral lists this ribosomal RNA (525 nucleotides) under Triticum aestivum (bread wheat). RNAcentral describes it as "partial small subunit ribosomal RNA". The record is from RNAcentral. Lineage: Eukaryota; Viridiplantae; Streptophyta; Magnoliopsida; Poales; Poaceae.